This 20-nucleotide small nuclear RNA is filed under the name Arabidopsis thaliana (thale cress). Its description in RNAcentral is "snRNA_10932". Lineage: Eukaryota; Viridiplantae; Streptophyta; Magnoliopsida; Brassicales; Brassicaceae. The record is from RNAcentral.
GUAGCCAAGGACAACUUGCC